AAAGGAAUAGACGGGGGCCCGCACAAGCGGAGGAACAUGUGGUUUAAUUCGAUGAUACGCGAGGAACCUUACCCGGGCUCGAACGGCUAUGGAAUUACAUAGAGAUAUGUAAGUCUGCAAAGACUGUAGUCGAGGUGCUGCAUGGUUGUCGUCAGCUCGUGCCGUGAGGUGUCGGCUUAAGUGCCAUAACGAGCGCAACCCCUGUUGCCAGUUACCAUCAAGUAGUGUUGGGGACUCUGGCGAGACUGCCGCCGUAAGGUGAGAGGAAGGUGGGGAUGACGUCAAAUCAGCACGGCCCUUACGUCCGGGGCGACACACGUGUUACAAUGGGCCAUACAGAGGGCAGCGAGGUAGUGAUGCCGAGCAAAUCUCCAAAGUGGUUCUCAGUUCGGAUUGGAGUCUGCAACUCGACUCCAUGAAGUUGGAUUCGCUAGUAAUCGCGCAUCAGCCAUGGCGCGGUGAAUACGUUCCCGGGCCUUGUACACACCGCCCGU
RNAcentral lists this ribosomal RNA (494 nucleotides) under uncultured bacterium. RNAcentral's name for it is "bacterial SSU rRNA". It matches the Rfam family "Bacterial small subunit ribosomal RNA", at positions 903 to 1397 of the family's 1533-position model. The record is from RNAcentral.